UACGGAGGAUCCAAGCGUUAUCCGGAUUCAUUGGGUUUAAAGGGCGCGUAGGCGGUCGUGACAAGUCACUUGUGAAAUCUCCGGGCUUAACUCGGAACGGUCAAGUGAUACUGUCGGACUAGAGUACAGAAGGGGCAACUGGAAUUCUCGGUGUAGCGGUGAAAUGCGUAGAUAUCGAGAGGAACACCUGCGGCGAAGGCGGGUUGCUGGGCUGAUACUGACGCUGAGGCGCGAAAGCCAGGGAGCGAACGGG
This 253-nucleotide ribosomal RNA is filed under the name uncultured bacterium. Its description in RNAcentral is "partial 16S ribosomal RNA". It matches the Rfam family "Bacterial small subunit ribosomal RNA", at positions 524 to 776 of the family's 1533-position model. The record is from RNAcentral.